This 90-nucleotide ribosomal RNA is filed under the name Diplodia seriata. RNAcentral's name for it is "partial 28S ribosomal RNA". Lineage: Eukaryota; Fungi; Ascomycota; Dothideomycetes; Botryosphaeriales; Botryosphaeriaceae. The record is from RNAcentral.
UUGACCUCGGAUCAGGUAGGGAUACCCGCUGAACUUAAGCAUAUCAAUAAGCGGAGGAAACGACUUGGCGGGGGGGGUAGCCCCCCGCCG